This is a microRNA precursor of Caenorhabditis elegans, 96 nucleotides long. NCBI's taxonomy places the organism in Eukaryota, Metazoa, Nematoda, Chromadorea, Rhabditida, Rhabditidae. The record is from Ensembl.
GCAAUGGUUUUGAGAGGAAUCCUUUUACAUAUUUGUUGAAGUUUUCGCUCGAAUUUGUGGUCGAAUACUGUAGAAGGAAGCCUGCACGAAGUUUUG